RNAcentral lists this small RNA (806 nucleotides) under Pan troglodytes (chimpanzee). RNAcentral describes it as "processed transcript". The record is from RNAcentral. Lineage: Eukaryota; Metazoa; Chordata; Mammalia; Primates; Hominidae.
GUGAGUCUGCGUGGAAGAGGGGUGCGGUUGUGUACAGGGAACUGAAUCCCCAGACAGAAGAAAGCCAGGAUCCUGCGCCUUUCCUGAACCGACUAGUUCGGCCUCGCAGAAGUGCACCUAAAGGCCGGAAAACACGGGCUCGAAGAGCGAUCGCAGCCCAUUAUGAAGUUCAUCCACGACCUGGACAGGACGGAGCGCAGGCAGGUGUGGACGGGACAGUGAGUGGCUGGGAGGAAGCCAGAAUCAACAGCUCCAGCCCUCUGCGCUACAACCGCCAGAUCGGGGAGUUUAUAGUCACCCGGGCUGGGCUCUACUACCUGUACUGUCAGGUGCACUUUGAUGAGGGGAAGGCUGUCUACCUGAAGCUGGACUUGCUGGUGGAUGGUGUGCUGGCCCUGCGCUGCCUGGAGGAAUUCUCAGCCACUGCGGCGAGUUCCCUCGGGCCCCAGCUCCGCCUCUGCCAGGUGUCUGGGCUGUUGGCCCUGCGGCCAGGGUCCUCCCUGCGGAUCCGCACCCUCCCCUGGGCCCAUCUCAAGGCUGCCCCCUUCCUCACCUACUUCGGACUCUUCCAGGUUCACUGAGGGGCCCUGGUCUCCCCGCAGUCGUCCCAGGCUGCCGGCUCCCCUCGACAGCUCUCUGGGCACCCGGUCUCCUCUGCCCCACCCUCAGCUGCUCUUUGCUCCAGACCUGCCCCUCCCUCUAGAGGCUGCCUGGGCCUGUUCACGUGUUUUCCAUCCCACAUAAAUACAGUAUUCCCACUCUUAUCUUACAACUCCCCCCACCGCCCACUCUCCACCUCACUAGCU